UUGACAGCAACACAGGUUUACAUCUGUGAAAUUCGCUAAUGCACAAUUCCGCUCUGAUGCAUUGUAAGGCAUUUUAUGACAUCCGUGUAACUCUGUUAAAGAAUAUGCUUACAACUGGGAGGAAAGGACAACAGCCCAGGAGCAGAGCGGUGUGGGCUCUCAGGAAAUUUCCAUCUUCUCGCUUAGAGCUGUUAACCAUCAUGCUUGGUGUUUCCCUGACUCUAAGAUGCUGUUUCUGAGAAAAAUGUCGUCACGCCAUUGGCACUCGUUUCGCGGCUGGCGAAAGGCCGCUGAGCGCUCCCUGCCCUUCACCACAGAGAUGACUGCAGUCUCCAAGUCCAGGUACCGGUCAAGUGGCCACGGCAACGAACGUGGACACCAGGGGCGCACGGACAGAUCCGAGUACCGGGAUGUCCCUGGUCCCACCCAGAAGGUGCUGGGGGCAACCUCCCUGCCACCUGCCUGACGCUCCUAAGCUCAGAUUUGCCCCUUACUUGCCAACCUCUGGCCUCUUACGCGCAGUGUCUGCUUUUCCUGGGAUCAGCAUCUUUUCUCCGGGUCGCUGCUUAGAUUUUUCUUCCUUCCUGUGUGUCCUGGACACUGGCACAGGUUCAAGAAUGAUGGGAAAGGGUGACAUGGCCAUGGGGUUUGUGAGGCCCGAUCUGGCCUAUUUCGAAAUGUAAAUUUGGUUUUAAGUUAUAAAAGAGCUAUAAAAACCUUGCACUAAAUAAGGAAACCUAUCCCACUCCGGGGCCUAAUCCCAGUCUCGCUCUACCCGGCUCGGCUCCCUCAUUAUACUUGUUUAAUACAGUGUGGUUUCCAUUCAGCCUUCUCUUCCUGUUUUUACACUUAUUCUUGCUUCACUGACUUCAUUAUCAGCAGAAUUUUGCAACUUUUUUUUAACACAGCCAUAAAUACUAUUCAAUUCAACAAAUGCAUACAAAUGGUUUCCAUUAGAAUUUUAAUCUACUCUCAAAAUGAAAGAAAAGCUUAAUAUAAAUCUUUUUAAAUUACCAGAACAUAAAUGCAGACAGGGACAGCUCCACCUAGACUAUGCACAAGGGGUCACAUCCCACUGUCCUCGCUCAUAAAUUAAUUGAGGUCUUUCGCCACCAUCACCGAACAGUGCAUCCUGGAAAGAUCAUAUCUGUCAAGAUUUCAGAUUGGUUCCCUCAGACUUUGUAAAAGUCCCAGCGUACAAUACCUUCAUUAUGCCCAUGAGGAUGGCUGUCUCCCCAACUGGAAAGAAAUAGGUGUUUUUGUUCUGUUGGACCAAGAUUUACAGAAAGCAAUUUUCCUCCAUGCAGGAGAUAUGACAAACCUGCUGGAAAACAAUGUCAUUUCACAACAUCUUUCAUUUCACCACCUUCUUUACGGCUAGAUGUAGAUUCUGUCCCCUGUGCAAAGGGCUGCAGUGACAUUUAAUGGCUGAGUGAGGAAGUUACCGCUGAGGGGCGGGGCUGAGGGGCGCCUCCAGGAGGGGGUCUGCAAAUGUCUCAGCAACUGCAGCCGAGGGAGCGGAAACACGAGCCCCUGCAGCCCCGGGAGCGACUUGAACUUGAGAACUUACAUGAGUCCUGACAGCCUUUGGCCAACAGCUGAACUUGCCUGUUUCCCUCCCGUUGGCUGAGCCCAGGAGCACAGCACACCUGCUCCGUCCUUGAGCAAUGGCCACGUCACUCUCAGAGGACGACUGAAGGGCGGAGAGUGGGCUUAGGUUGUUGUGUUGUUGUUUUUCUUUUUUCCAUUUCCUCAUGUCAUAACCUAACGCUGUUCUAGCAGAGCUUCUGCAUAUUAAAUUGCCUUUUAGCAACUGGA
Delphinapterus leucas (beluga whale) is the source of this 1818-nucleotide long non-coding RNA. RefSeq lists it as uncharacterized. Lineage: Eukaryota; Metazoa; Chordata; Mammalia; Artiodactyla; Monodontidae. The record is from RefSeq and is a predicted model, not a curated record.